Molecule: ribosomal RNA, 458 nt
Filed under: Pseudarthrobacter sp.
Lineage: Bacteria; Bacillati; Actinomycetota; Actinomycetes; Micrococcales; Micrococcaceae
Description: bacterial SSU rRNA
Rfam family: Bacterial small subunit ribosomal RNA
Source: RNAcentral
GGAAUUCCUGGUGUAGCGGUGAAAUGCGCAGAUAUCAGGAGGAACACCGAUGGCGAAGGCAGGUCUCUGGGCAUUAACUGACGCUGAGGAGCGAAAGCAUGGGGAGCGAACAGGAUUAGAUACCCUGGUAGUCCAUGCCGUAAACGUUGGGCACUAGGUGUGGGGGACAUUCCACGUUUUCCGCGCCGUAGCUAACGCAUUAAGUGCCCCGCCUGGGGAGUACGGCCGCAAGGCUAAAACUCAAAGGAAUUGACGGGGGCCCGCACAAGCGGCGGAGCAUGCGGAUUAAUUCGAUGCAACGCGAAGAACCUUACCAAGGCUUGACAUGAACCGGAAACACCUGGAAACAGGUGCCCCGCUUGCGGUCGGUUUACAGGUGGUGCAUGGUUGUCGUCAGCUCGUGUCGUGAGAUGUUGGGUUAAGUCCCGCAACGAGCGCAACCCUCGUUCUAUGUUGCC